GACGAACGCUGGCGGCGUGCUUAACACAUGCAAGUCGAACGGAAAGGCCCUGCUUUUGUGGGGUGCUCGAGUGGCGAACGGGUGAGUAACACGUGAGUAACCUGCCCUUGACUUUGGGAUAACUUCAGGAAACUGGGGCUAAUACCGGAUAGGAGCUCCUGCUGCAUGGUGGGGGUUGGAAAGUUUCGGCGGUUGGGGAUGGACUCGCGGCUUAUCAGCUUGUUGGUGGGGUAGUGGCUUACCAAGGCUUUGACGGGUAGCCGGCCUGAGAGGGUGACCGGCCACAUUGGGACUGAGAUACGGCCCAGACUCCUACGGGAGGCAGCAGUGGGGAAUAUUGCACAAUGGGCGGAAGCCUGAUGCAUCAACGCCGCGUGCGGGAUGACGGCCUUCGGGUUGUAAACCGCUUUCGCCUGUGACGAAGCGUGAGUGACGGUAAUGGGUAAAGAAGCACCGGCUAACUACGUG
RNAcentral lists this ribosomal RNA (468 nucleotides) under uncultured bacterium. Its description in RNAcentral is "partial 16S ribosomal RNA". It matches the Rfam family "Bacterial small subunit ribosomal RNA", at positions 28 to 507 of the family's 1533-position model. The record is from RNAcentral.